GCAGGUUUGGUACCCUGUAGAUCUGGGUUCAAGGCCGGGUGGGGUGACUGUCCUCUUUCUUCGCUACAAAUAGGGUUCACUCAAAUAAAUGUUUUAAACUUUGUAGAAGUUCCUGCAAUCAGGUGUGUGCAUGUUUGUGGACCUUGACACUGACUGCUGAUUGUUGUCUUCUGUUUAGUUAGAGGCUUAGCAGGUUUUUAUCUUGAUAUUUGGAAUUUGGCUUUCUCUUUAUUUUCAUUAAUAACUUUUUGGGUUGAAUUUUGAAUCUGCGUUCCCUAAUCUGCAUUUUGUGUGUUGGAUUUAUGGUGUGUUUGAUCUUUUUGAAGAGUUAAUAAACCCAUAUGACUUUUUAACCCUCACUCUGACUCUGAGCUUUUGGCCACACCCACAUAUAGACGGUGACCCAACGCUUGGGUCUUCACAAACACAGACAAAUAAAUUGACACUUCCGCCUCUUUACCUGAUAUCAUAAAUAGCUUCGCCCAGCAUGUCUGUCACUGUGGACACAUCUCUUAGGUCCUGUAAAUGCUCAGUGCAAUUUUAAUGCUGAUCAACUAAGGCAAGUGGUUACAGGUAAUAAACAUACAAUGUUUUUUGUCUUUUCAAUAUUUACAACUCUAUAGAAACUAGGGCUGAACGAUUAAUUGCAUUUGCGAUUUAAUCGUGAUAUGAUAGAACGCGAUUUUCUAACCGCAACGUUCGCGAUUAAAAAACGUGGUCUAAAAAAAAAAAAAAAAAAAAUGUUUUUUUUUUUUUUAAGAUGGUAAAUUUUGCACACAGUGUUUAAAAAGUGCAUGCCUAGUGUUUAUACUUAAAAUUACUUUUUUUAAAUUACUUAAAUGCACAGUGGCAAAGCCACCUAUUUGUUGUUCUUGUUUCUGUAAUGAGCAGUUAAAUAAAAAUGUAAAAUGUGGGAAAGAAUAUUUUACACUAAAUGUAUCUAAUAUUGUGUUGGUCAUAUUUAAAUCAUUCAUUACGUUUUGUUGGGAAAAAAAGAGGAUACAAAAAAAAAAUCGCAUAUUAAAUCGCAAUCGCAAUAUUUUGGUAAAAAAUCGCAAUUAGAUUAUUUUCCCAAAUCGUUCAGCCC
Clupea harengus (Atlantic herring) is the source of this 1087-nucleotide long non-coding RNA. The record is from Ensembl. NCBI's taxonomy places the organism in Eukaryota, Metazoa, Chordata, Actinopteri, Clupeiformes, Clupeidae.